GCCCCGCGCCGUGGCGCUCCUCCUCUUCGCUGCCGGUGGGCACCGCCGCUCGCUCGCACUUCUGCGCCCAUCGGAGCUUCGGAGAUCCCUGAGGUCCCGCGGGACGGCGCGGCAGCAGCUGACCUCGCAGACAGGAUCUUGCUCUCUUGCCCAGACUGGAAUACAGUGCUGUGAACACGGCUCACUGCAGCCUUAACCCCCUGGACUCAGGAAAGGCCAAGGUUUGGAGGUGGAGGAGGGAUUGCACACAUGGCUGGGGGAAAGUGAAUGAUCCAUGUAACCAAA
Nomascus leucogenys (northern white-cheeked gibbon) is the source of this 285-nucleotide long non-coding RNA. RefSeq lists it as uncharacterized. The transcript has 3 exons. The record is from RefSeq and is a predicted model, not a curated record. NCBI's taxonomy places the organism in Eukaryota, Metazoa, Chordata, Mammalia, Primates, Hylobatidae.